GCGAAGCUAUGAACCGAAGCCCCAGUAAACGGCGGCCGUAACUAUAACGGUCCUAAGGUAGCGAAAUUCCUUGUCAGGUAAAUUCUGACCCGCACGAAUGGCGUAACGACUUGGGCGCUGUCUCAACGAGAGAUCCGGUGAAAUUUUAAUACCUGUGAAGAUGCAGGUUACCCGCGACAAGACGGAAAGACCCCAUGGAGCUUUACUGCAGCUUGAUAUUGAAUUUGGGUACGAUCUGUACAGGAUAGGUGGGAGCCGUUGAACUUUGAGCGCCAGCUUGAAGGGAGGCAUCCUUGGGAUACCACCCUGAUCGUAUCUAGGUUCUAACUUGGUACCGUGAUCCGGUACGAGGACAGUGUC
This 360-nucleotide ribosomal RNA is filed under the name Paenibacillus sp. EKM202P. RNAcentral describes it as "partial 23S ribosomal RNA". It matches the Rfam family "Bacterial large subunit ribosomal RNA", at positions 1899 to 2258 of the family's 2925-position model. Lineage: Bacteria; Bacillati; Bacillota; Bacilli; Caryophanales; Paenibacillaceae. The record is from RNAcentral.